Molecule: ribosomal RNA, 928 nt
Filed under: Anamixis bananarama
Lineage: Eukaryota; Metazoa; Arthropoda; Malacostraca; Amphipoda; Leucothoidae
Description: partial 18S ribosomal RNA
Rfam family: Eukaryotic small subunit ribosomal RNA
Source: RNAcentral
AUACGAACGAGACUCUUUCCUGCUAACCACGGUAAAUGUGGCUCGUCGUGUGCGUGUGCGUGCGUGUUUUAACCGAUGCGUGCGUAUGCGUAUGCGCGGGUCACGUUGUUCCAAAGUAGACGGCGUGAUUCUAUAUUAAAGUCUUCAACGAACGCUUUCGUUCGACGUGUCGUGCGCGAGCGUGUCUUAACGGGUGCGCUCGCGUGUUCGUGCUCGGGUGUUUGCGAUCUGAAGAGUCCGCCGAUCCUGCGUAAUUAUUCGAGACUGCUCUUCACGCGCGCUUAUUCGGUACGAUCGUUUCCUUUCGUUGCUCUCUUUCGCGUAUGUGCUCGCGUAUGCUCUCGGGUGUGCGUGCGUGCAUUGUGUUUGGGGGUGCGAGGGGUGGUCCCCGUUUAUUGCGUUUCGCGAGUUGCCAGCAUAUCGAGUAUAUGCGCUGGAAGUUUUCUUCUUAGAGGUAUUGACGACUCACGUUCAAAGUCGUAAGAGACAAAGAGCAAUAACAGGUCUGUGAUGCCCUUAGAUGUCCUGGGCCGCACGCGAGCUACAAUGCCGGGUACAACGGGUAUAGUUUCCUUCUCCGAAAGGAGUGGGUAACCCUUUGAACACCCUUAUUACAUCGACGAUCUCGCUUAUAUGCGUCUCGCGCGUGUAUUCGCGAUACAUAUCGUCUGGCUCGCUUGGGCCUGGGGCUUGCAAUUCUUUCCCACUAACGAGGAAUGCCUUGUAGUGGCGGGUCACUGAGCUCGUGGCGACUCAGUCCCUGCCCUUUGUACACACCGCCCGUCGCUACUACCGAUUGAGUGUACCAGUGAGAUUCUUGGACUGGCGAACCUCGUAGCUCUCUCUCCCUCUUUAUCGAGUGCGAGAGGGAGUGAAAGAGGCGUACGAUGGGAAGAGACUCGAACUGGUGCACUUAGAGGAAGUAAAA